Molecule: ribosomal RNA, 253 nt
Filed under: uncultured bacterium
Lineage: Bacteria
Description: partial 16S ribosomal RNA
Rfam family: Bacterial small subunit ribosomal RNA
Source: RNAcentral
UACGUAGGGUGCAAGCGUUAAUCGGAAUUACUGGGCGUAAAGCGUGCGCAGGCGGUGAUGUAAGACAGGUGUGAAAUCCCCGGGCUUAACCUGGGAACUGCAUUUGUGACUGCAUCGCUGGAGUGCGGCAGAGGGGGAUGGAAUUCCGCGUGUAGCAGUGAAAUGCGUAGAUAUCGUUUGGAACGCCAAUGGUGAAAACAGGUAGCUGGGAGUGUGCCGACGCUGAGACACGAAAGCCAGGGGAGCGAACGGG